UGGGGAAUAUUGGACAAUGGGCGCAAGCCUGAUCCAGCAAUGCCGCGUGGGUGAUGAAGGCCUUCGGGUUGUAAAGCCCUUUCGCACGCGACGAUGAUGACGGUAGCGUGAGAAGAAGCUCCGGCUAAUUUCGUGCCAGCAGCCGCGGUAAUACGAAAGGAGCAGGUGUUAUUCGGAUUAACUGGGCGUAAAGGGCGCGUAGGUGGUUUGUUAUGUGUGUUACUAAAUUAUAAAGCUUAACUUUAUGUAAUAACAUAUACAGCUAAACUAGAGUUUAGUAUGGGGUAGUAGAAUUUCUAAUGUAAAGGCGAAAUUUGAUAAAAUUAGAGAGAAUACCGAUGGCGUAAGCAACUACCUGGGCUUUAACUGACGCUCAUGCACGAAAGCGUGGGGAGCAAACAGGAUUGGAUACCCUGGUAGUCCACGCCCUAAACGAUGUCGACUGGUUGUGGGGGUUUGACACUCUCAGUAACGAAGCUAACGCGUGAAGUCGACCGCCUGGGGACGUACGGCCGACG
Molecule: ribosomal RNA, 518 nt
Filed under: uncultured Pseudomonadota bacterium
Lineage: Bacteria; Pseudomonadati; Pseudomonadota
Description: bacterial SSU rRNA
Rfam family: Bacterial small subunit ribosomal RNA
Source: RNAcentral